CUGUGAGCCGCUGCUGGGAUUGAGGGAAUUUGAGCAUAGUUGCUUGGAUAUGCGUGGUCCCAGAUUUCCAGCCUCUGAGGUAAGUAAGACGUGCCAUCCUGGGAGUGGGUUGGCUUUGACUGUGGGUGGCAAGUUUUCCCUCUCUCAGAGCAUCUUGUAACUGGUGGCCAUUAAGUUCUACAUCUUGGGGUUGACCUAGAUACCAGUUUCUAUCUGGAUUAUCUGGGGUCUCUCUCACAGGCACAUGCUGCAUGCCUAUGAACUAAGCCCUUACACCCCAAAUUCCUCCCCCUGUUAACUGUGCCCCUUAGGCACACAGGAGCUUUCUUGGCCUCCACCCACUACAGCCACAGGGCCCUACUGCUUUAAGAUUCAUCAGACAGUUGCUGGCCCCAGGAAACAUUCCCUGCCCCUCUUCCAGGCUUGUCUGCCUGACAUGCACACAGUCAAACAGUGUCCGUGUGCUCUCGAUGGCCACCGGUCAUGUGACCACACUCCUGCCAAUCACAUCUAGCCUCUACUCUCCUCGGAUGUUCUUCGUACAGAGGACAGCAGCAUCUCUGACCCACCCUAGGCUGGGCACAGCCACGCCCUUCCUAUGUUGUCCUGCUUGCCAACAUCUUCUGUGGGUCUGGUUUCAUGUGCCCAUAGGAUCUCAAGCAGAGCUCGGGACCCAGAGCAAGCUGAAUUCACGCAUCUGCAACUACCAAGCCCAUACGCUCCAGCGUGGCCUGGAGCGGUCUACGCACACUUCACUCUACAGUCUCUAUGAAGAGAAAUUUGACAAGUAUCAUUACCAAACUUCAACAAGGUACCCUGUGCUGGGCCACCAGAGCCCCCUUGUGUGAGCUCCUGGGAGCCACACAGCUUGUGGAGUCAUAAGGUUCCUGUUCCCCAGGCCUGGGGUGCGGAUAGACUCACCUGGCUCAGGUCCUGUGAGGAGACUCAAGGAGCCUGUGUACCUCUUGGAGCUUUGUGGUCACUCAGUGUGUGAGCCGAUCAGGCUAUUCCAACUGUCUUAAUAACUUCCUCAGUUCACUCCGGUUGCCCAGAGUUCUGAGCAUGAGCAUCGGACCUUCUCGGAAGCCUGUGGAUGCAGUAGGAGCCCCCGUGGAUGCCUAUGGGCAACUGUAGGCAGCAUGCAGACCUCCUACCCCUCUGCCCUCCUGGCUCUAGCCUCAGCUUUAUAAAUCUGUUUCCUACCCCAGCAGGGCAGCUUCUCUGUCCUCCUGCGUGUUUCUGCCCCCCCCCACGCUCCUUCCAAGGAGCCUUUCCUAGCUGUGAGUUGAUGCCACAACCCCGUGGAAGCCUCUCUGUGCUCCGUGUGGGUUCUGACACCCAAGCCAUCUCAUGUGGUCCCCUCCCACACUGCCUCGGUUCUUCUGAGCUGAUGCCAGAACACUCCAGAGUCUUUGCUGCACGACCACACCUCACACUGGAGCCCCAGGAUGGCUUGUGGGGCCUUAUGCUGCCUUCGUCAGGGCACUCUGCCCAGCUGCAGUGUGUAGACACGACUGAGCCCAUUUUCCAUGUCCCUCAGGUACUUGGAUGAGCUAUAGAGCCCGACCCAGGAUGGAACAGAAUCUUCCCUUCCGUGGCCAACACAAACAGGGGGCCCAUAAACCUUCCUAAUUUAGGCAGGCAGGCAGGCAGGCAGGCAAGGUCAGGACGGGAGACUAAACAAUCAUCUCAGGACACACCCAGGCUGCUCAGUCCUCAGGAAUGCCUACGACAUCGACAUCGGGACUUCUACAGAGAACAGCAGACCUCUUUGAGCACAGGCAGCCUUGGGUCAAUCCAGUUCCUCAUCAGCUAUGGACAGCAGGGCCUUGCUGGACUGCUCCAUGGUCGGGGGUGUGGCAGCGAUGCUGGGUACCUGCUCUGCUCUGAGCAUUCUCUGGCAGAGAGCACUCCUCUGCCUCAGUUUCCUUGUAGGAGAAGUGGAGGUCUCAAACUCCAAUGGGCAAACCAGUAGGCAGCCUUCCCCCAUGACUCCUCCCUUGAGUUUCUGCCCCGGCUUCCCCCUGAGCAGUAGGUGUAAGCAGAAAUAAACCCCUCUCUCCCCAAA
This is a non-coding RNA of Rattus norvegicus (Norway rat), 2068 nucleotides long. The record is from RefSeq and is a predicted model, not a curated record. Lineage: Eukaryota; Metazoa; Chordata; Mammalia; Rodentia; Muridae.